Molecule: ribosomal RNA, 1381 nt
Filed under: uncultured bacterium
Lineage: Bacteria
Description: bacterial SSU rRNA
Rfam family: Bacterial small subunit ribosomal RNA
Source: RNAcentral
GACGAACGCUGGCGGCGUGCCUAAUACAUGCAAGUCGAACGCUUCUUUCCUCCCGAGUGCUUGCACUCAAUUGGAAAGAGGAGUGGCGGACGGGUGAGUAACACGUGGGUAACCUACCCAUCAGAGGGGGAUAACACUUGGAAACAGGUGCUAAUACCGCAUAACAGUUUAUGCCGCAUGGCAUAAGAGUGAAAGGCGCUUUCGGGUGUCGCUGAUGGAUGGACCCGCGGUGCAUUAGCUAGUUGGUGAGGUAACGGCUCACCAAGGCCACGAUGCAUAGCCGACCUGAGAGGGUGAUCGGCCACACUGGGACUGAGACACGGCCCAGACUCCUACGGGAGGCAGCAGUAGGGAAUCUUCGGCAAUGGACGAAAGUCUGACCGAGCAACGCCGCGUGGGUGAAGAAGGUUUUCGGAUCGUAAAACUCUGUUGUUAGAGAAGAACGAGGACGUUAGUAACUGAACGUCCCCUGACGGUAUCUAACCAGAAAGCCACGGCUAACUACGUGCCAGCAGCCGCGGUAAUACGUAGGUGGCAAGCGUUGUCCGGAUUUAUUGGGCGUAAAGCGAGCGCAGGCGGUUUCUUAAGUCUGAUGUGAAAGCCCCCGGCUCAACCGGGGAGGGUCAUUGGAAACUGGGAGACUUGAGUGCAGAAGAGGAGAGUGGAAUUCCAUGUGUAGCGGUGAAAUGCGUAGAUAUAUGGAGGAACACCAGUGGCGAAGGCGGCUCUCUGGUCUGUAACUGACGCUGAGGCUCGAAAGCGUGGGGAGCAAACAGGAUUAGAUACCCUGGUAGUCCACGCCGUAAACGAUGAGUGCUAAGUGUUGGAGGGUUUCCGCCCUUCAGUGCUGCAGCAAACGCAUUAAGCACUCCGCCUGGGGAGUACGACCGCAAGGUUGAAACUCAAAGGAAUUGACGGGGGCCCGCACAAGCGGUGGAGCAUGUGGUUUAAUUCGAAGCAACGCGAAGAACCUUACCAGGUCUUGACAUCCUUUGACCACUCUAGAGAUAGAGCUUUCCCUUCGGGGACAAAGUGACAGGUGGUGCAUGGUUGUCGUCAGCUCGUGUCGUGAGAUGUUGGGUUAAGUCCCGCAACGAGCGCAACCCUUAUUGUUAGUUGCCAUCAUUUAGUUGGGCACUCUAGCGAGACUGCCGGUGACAAACCGGAGGAAGGUGGGGAUGACGUCAAAUCAUCAUGCCCCUUAUGACCUGGGCUACACACGUGCUACAAUGGGAAGUACAACGAGUCGCUAGACCGCGAGGUCAUGCAAAUCUCUUAAAGCUUCUCUCAGUUCGGAUUGCAGGCUGCAACUCGCCUGCAUGAAGCCGGAAUCGCUAGUAAUCGCGGAUCAGCACGCCGCGGUGAAUACGUUCCCGGGCCU